AGUGAACGCUGGCGGUAGGCCUAACACAUGCAAGUCGAACGGCAGCACAAGAGAGCUUGCUCUCUGGGUGGCGAGUGGCGGACGGGUGAGGAAUACAUCGGAAUCUACCUUUUCGUGGGGGAUAACGUAGGGAAACUUACGCUAAUACCGCAUACGACCUACGGGUGAAAGUGGGGGACCUUCGGGCCUCACGCGGAUAGAUGAGCCGAUGUCGGAUUAGCUAGUUGGAGGGGUAAUGGCCCACCAAGGCGACGAUCCGUAGCUGGUCUGAGAGGAUGAUCAGCCACACUGGAACUGAGACACGGUCCAGACUCCUACGGGAGGCAGCAGUGGGGAAUAUUGGACAAUGGGCGCAAGCCUGAUCCAGCCAUACCGCGUGGGUGAAGAAGGCCUUCGGGUUGUAAAGCCCUUUUGUUGGGAAAGAAAUCCUGUUGGUUAAUACCUGGCAGGGAUGACGGUACCCAAAGAAUAAGCACCGGCUAACUUCGUGCCAGCAGCCGCCGUAACAC
This 509-nucleotide ribosomal RNA is filed under the name uncultured bacterium. RNAcentral describes it as "bacterial SSU rRNA". It matches the Rfam family "Bacterial small subunit ribosomal RNA", at positions 29 to 526 of the family's 1533-position model. The record is from RNAcentral.